This 1233-nucleotide long non-coding RNA is filed under the name Homo sapiens (human). RNAcentral's name for it is "HSALNT0317535". Lineage: Eukaryota; Metazoa; Chordata; Mammalia; Primates; Hominidae. The record is from RNAcentral.
GUUAUCUAGAUUUUUUUUCCUUAUGUUAUCUUCUAGAAGUUUGAAAAUUUUACAUUUCAUAUAUUGGUCUAAUAUCUACUUUGCAUUAACUUUUGUAAAAAGUAUAAGGUCUGUUACAUAUUCUUUUUUUUUUUGCAUGUGGAUGCCCACUUGUUCCAGAACCAUUUGUUAAAAAGACUCUCCUUUCUCCAUUGAAUUGCUUUUGCUCCUUUGUCAGAAAUCAGUUGGCUGCAUUUCAUUCUGUUUCUGGGUUCUCUGUUCUGUUUCACUGAUGUAUGUGUAUGUGUCUUCUGUUUUGCCUUCAAUUUAAAAAAUAUCUAAAUAUCUACUUGCUACCUCAAUUUGCUGAUGAAUUCUCAUUUGUAAACAGAAAAGCAUAAAUUAAAGCCUGAGUAUCUUUUGGGGUAGAUGUUGCAUUGAAUACAAUGAGCAGAAUGAGUUAUAAUCUUAAAGUGAAUAUAAAAAUUUGACCAUAGUGGUAACAGAUUUGUGCACUAGUGACAUCAAUGACAGAGUCCAUUGCAAUAUUGCUUCCUCCCAUAGGCUCAGCUCUGCUUCACACCAGGUAACUACCAGUCCCUUUUGUGCUUCAUUCAAGGAUUUCUGUGGGGCGGAAAGCAGAAAUAUCAUGAGCUCAGUGGAGAGAGAGAAGGCAGUUUUCCAGGCUGGGAGCAGUCAGAUCUCCAGUGGGUCCCAACACUGCUCUGUAGCAAUGCCUAGAAGGUGAUGGAAACAGGGUGAACAUGAGGAGUAUCAAGUCCAAAAUGAAGCUCUUCAAACCAUCUGGGAAGAGAAAACAGCAUGACAAGGAAAGGUGUAUUUGUCUGAUCCCAGUAAUCAAUAUAAACAUCAAUGAUAACCCCACCUAUUUUUUUAAAUGUAUGAUUUGGAUGAAACAAGAGAAAGAGACUGAUUGUUGCUGAGUCCCUGCUGCAGUCCUGACACAGCUCUCCUUAUUUUGUUGAUGCUCAUGAGGACCCUGAUGUCUGAGGAAGAAGGUUCCCGUCCAGCUCUGCCCCUGGUGUGUCACAUGCCGGCCUUGUCAACGCACACGAGAACCUGACAGGAAAUACAGAUUUUCCUGGCACUGACAACUGCAAGAAAUUUCACUUGGAGUCUCCACAUAGUCAACCAUGUGAUGUUAACAUCAGUGUAAUAGAUACUAUCACAAACAUCCUGUGACUUUUAUAUUUUUUUUGUACUUUAAGUUCUGAUACAUGAGCAGAACGUGCA